UCGGUUAGACGAUCCUCUUUCAGCCACGUAAGACGUAAGCUUGUUUCAUUUUUGGCCUUUUGGGUUUCCCUUCACCGGUUCGAUUGUUCAGCGAGUUCAGGAAUCCCUGAAGAAACUGAAAGCUGGUGAAAGUGAAAAAGCUGUACAGUACAUACCUUGUAUGGCUUUAUCCUCUCAAAACACCACCCCAAAUAUCAUGGGUUCUAGACAAUCAAUACCUACAUUUCAUGGAUACCAUGAGAAAGUAAAUAAUGAUGAGGUCAUUAUAGAACAACCAUGCAGUUUUCAUUCAAUUCAAACAUACCUAGUACAAGAAAAUCGAGCAAAUGAUUGCAGAUGUAGAGAAGGAUGGUAGUGGUGCUAUUGGUUUUGAUGAAUUUGUCUACAUGAUGAUUGCUAAAAUCGGAGAAAAGAUACCAAGGAAGAGAUAAUCAAACCUUUUCAUAUUAUUGACCAAGAUAAUAAUGUGAAGCACUCUAUAUCUCUAAAAUGACCUGAUUCUUUCUUGUCCCUUGCUAACUUUUACUGAUCCAGAUGCAGGAAAAAAUAUCUGUUAUGGACAUCAAACAUAUUGCAAAGGCUGAAUUUGAACUUCAAUGAUAAAGAGAUUCAAGAGAUGGUAGAGGAAGCAGACCAUGAUUGUAAGUUACCUCAUCAGCAUUUAAUUUAUUGUUUUGUUGCCUUCUACGACAUGGACUUUGACCAAACUUUGCAUGCAUUGAUGGAAGAGUAUAGAUCUUUGCUAUUA
Long non-coding RNA from Nelumbo nucifera (sacred lotus), 748 nucleotides. RefSeq lists it as uncharacterized. The record is from RefSeq and is a predicted model, not a curated record. NCBI's taxonomy places the organism in Eukaryota, Viridiplantae, Streptophyta, Magnoliopsida, Proteales, Nelumbonaceae.